RNAcentral lists this ribosomal RNA (175 nucleotides) under uncultured Rhizobium sp. RNAcentral describes it as "partial 16S ribosomal RNA". It matches the Rfam family "Bacterial small subunit ribosomal RNA", at positions 339 to 531 of the family's 1533-position model. Lineage: Bacteria; Pseudomonadati; Pseudomonadota; Alphaproteobacteria; Hyphomicrobiales; Rhizobiaceae. The record is from RNAcentral.
CUACGGGAGGCAGCAGUGGGGAAUAUUGGACAAUGGGCGCAAGCCUGAUCCAGCCAUGCCGCGUGAGUGAUGAAGGCCCUAGGGUUGUAAAGCUCUUUCACCGGUGAAGAUAAUGACGGUAACCGGAGAAGAAGCCCCGGCUAACUUCGUGCCAGCAGCCGCGGUAAUACGAAGG